AGCACUGUAGGUGUCAGCAGCCGCGGUAAUACGUAGGGUGCGAGCGUUGUCCGGAAUUAUUGGGCGUAAAGGGCUCGUAGGCGGUUUGUCGCGUCGGGAGUGUAAAACACCGGGCUUAACUCGGUGCUUGCUUUCGAUACGGGCAGACUAGAGGUAUGCAGGGGAGAACGGAAUUCCUGGUGUAGCGGUGAAAUGCGCAGAUAUCAGGAGGAACACCGGUGGCGAAGGCGGUUCUCUGGGCAGUUACCUGACGCUGAGGAGCGAAAGUGUGGGGAGCGAACAGGAUUAGAUACCCUGGUACGUCCACACCGUAAACGUUGGGACGCUAGGUGUGGGAUCCAUUCCACGGGUUCCGUGCCGCAGCUAACGCAUU
RNAcentral lists this ribosomal RNA (373 nucleotides) under uncultured bacterium. RNAcentral's name for it is "bacterial SSU rRNA". It matches the Rfam family "Bacterial small subunit ribosomal RNA", at positions 489 to 861 of the family's 1533-position model. The record is from RNAcentral.